Molecule: ribosomal RNA, 200 nt
Filed under: uncultured bacterium
Lineage: Bacteria
Description: partial 16S ribosomal RNA
Rfam family: Bacterial small subunit ribosomal RNA
Source: RNAcentral
AUUGAACGCUGGCGGCAGGCCUAACACAUGCAAGUCGAGCGGGGUUUUCGGACCUAGCGGCGGCGGGUGAGUAAUGCGUAGGAAGCUGCCCGAUAGAGGGGGAUACCAGUUGGAAACGACUGUUAAUACCGCAUAAUGUCUACGGACCAAAGUGUGGGACCUUCGGGCCACAUGCUAUCGGAUGCGCCUACGUGGGAUUA